UACGUAUGGUGCAAGCGUUAUCCGGAUUUACUGGGUGUAAAGGGAGCGCAGGCGGCACGGCAAGCCUGGUGUGAAAGCCCGCGGCCCAACCGCGGGACUGCAUUGGGAACUACCGGGCUGGAGUGCCGGAGAGGUAGGCGGAAUUCCUAGUGUAGCGGUGAAAUGCGUAGAUAUUAGGAGGAACACCAGUGGCGAAGGCGGCCUACUGGACGGUGACUGACGCUGAGGCUCGAAAGCGUGGGGAGCAAACAGG
This 253-nucleotide ribosomal RNA is filed under the name uncultured bacterium. RNAcentral's name for it is "partial 16S ribosomal RNA". It matches the Rfam family "Bacterial small subunit ribosomal RNA", at positions 524 to 776 of the family's 1533-position model. The record is from RNAcentral.